GUGGCGGAAGAAACCACGGGGAGAAAAUUAAUAAAAGUAAACGAGAAAUAAAAACAAGCAAAAGAAAUUCGAACUCAAUAUAAGAAAAUUUGCCAUCGUCCCCACCUUCAACCUCAUUUCGGACUUUCUUCCUCCAUUCAUCUCCGAUCAUCGGGGCCAUGGCUGGUGACGCUACUGGUUGAGGAACCGGCCUCCUCGGUAACGACCAUUCUCUACUAUAGCGAUCUCCUGCCUCAGACCACCGUCCUGGAGGGGCUGGUCCGCCGGGAUAUGCUCCACUCGGAGAACUACUUUUUCCAUUUCCUCAUAGGUUUCUUGAGAUGUUUCUGGUAAUCGAUCAGAUCCCGCUAGCAUAAGUUAUUUGUUGUCCUUGAGAUAAUGGUAUCAUCAAAAACUACUGAAAUAUAUUCAUAAGAUGCAUAACGUUGGCUAUGCAUACUCUUUUUGUAACCCAUUAAUUUUCAAUGAACAUUUUUAUUUAACUUUGCAGGA
Punica granatum (pomegranate) is the source of this 492-nucleotide non-coding RNA. NCBI's taxonomy places the organism in Eukaryota, Viridiplantae, Streptophyta, Magnoliopsida, Myrtales, Lythraceae. The record is from RefSeq and is a predicted model, not a curated record.